Molecule: long non-coding RNA, 922 nt
Filed under: Homo sapiens (human)
Lineage: Eukaryota; Metazoa; Chordata; Mammalia; Primates; Hominidae
Description: HSALNT0297872
Source: RNAcentral
GGCAGUCACAGGCCUCACCCCUCUCCCACACAGCCCUCAGUCCUAAAGGCUGGUCUCACUCCCAUCCUGCCACGCAACAGCACAGGGUCUAUUUCGAGACAGCCAGUGACCAGGGCUGAGAACUUGCCCCAGACCACCAGCCUCCUCACUGAGAAAGCAAGCAGAAUCACAGUUUUUUGGAAUCUCAGGGAGCCUUCAGCGGCAAUCCAGUUCCUUCAAAGGGUCUGUGGAUUCUCUCAGUUUUCAUGAAACCAGCCAAGGCAAUGUGAAGGAUUCCAAGAGAGGCAAUAUGGAUGAAACCAUUUAUUAGAUUUAUAAGAGCUGAAGGAAAGUGGUAAAGCUAUCCAUCUUCUAUACUUUAUUGAGAACAGGACCAAUGACUCAGACUAUCAGGACAGUAUCUCCAAGACAGAAUUGAAAUCCUAAAGUAAGCAGAGAAUAAGUGCAUACAUUUUAGGAGAAGAGGGAUCAAAGGCAGAAGGAAGAAAUGCACGGGUGUCAGCUGUGACCCUCGAAGGAAAGGGAUCACCCUCUUUCUGACCCUAUACCACCUUCAGCAGGGAUGAAGGCAGUCAGAGAAAACUUAGUUAAAAAAUUUCUAAACUGCUUUGCUGAUUUGAUCUGGGGCCCUGGAGUGCCAACAUCCUGUGAUAGCGGCUGAUUGUUGAUGCCUGGGAGGAUACAGCAGUGACGAUCCAAAUUUACAAGACUCAACAUGGUUUUCAAAACUUCCUUUUAAAAAAGAUGUUCCUGAGUUCUGGAAUCUGAACAAAAUAUGUCUGGUUAUUAUAUAAUUCUAAUGGUCCUUGUGGAUGCUACCAUUAGAGUUCAGUUAGUGUCUCAUCUAUCACUGUAAUAUUUGUAUUGUAACACUAAUCGUGGCAAAGUAUGAUUUGAUAAAUGCUCAUUCUCAAAUCUUUUA